This 468-nucleotide ribosomal RNA is filed under the name uncultured bacterium. RNAcentral's name for it is "partial 16S ribosomal RNA". It matches the Rfam family "Bacterial small subunit ribosomal RNA", at positions 28 to 507 of the family's 1533-position model. The record is from RNAcentral.
GGCGAACGCUGGCGGCGUGCUUAACACAUGCAAGUCGAACGGAAAGGCCCUGCUUUUGUGGGGUGCUCGAGUGGCGAACGGGUGAGUAACACGUGAGUAACCUGCCCUUGACUUUGGGAUAACUUCAGGAAACUGGGGCUAAUACCGGAUAGGAGCUCCUGCUGCAUGGUGGGGGUUGGAAAGUUUCGGCGGUUGGGGAUGGACUCGCGGCUUAUCAGCUUGUUGGUGGGGUAGUGGCUUACCAAGGCUUUGACGGGUAGCCGGCCUGAGAGGGUGACCGGCCACAUUGGGACUGAGAUACGGCCCAGACUCCUACGGGAGGCAGCAGUGGGGAAUAUUGCACAAUGGGCGGAAGCCUGAUGCAGCAACGCCGCGUGCGGGAUGACGGCCUUCGGGUUGUAAACCGCUUUCGCCUGAGACGAAGCGUGAGUGACGGUAAUGGGUAAAGAAGCACCGGCUAACUACGUG